Molecule: transfer RNA, 68 nt
Filed under: Cardiocondyla obscurior
Lineage: Eukaryota; Metazoa; Arthropoda; Insecta; Hymenoptera; Formicidae
Description: tRNA-Ile
Source: RNAcentral
AAUGAUAUGCCUGAAAAAGGAUUAUUUUGAUAGAAUAAAUUAUGUAUAAAUUUAAUAUACUUUCAUUA